UCCACGCCGUAAACGAUGGGCACUAGAUGUUGCGGGUAACCACUCCUGCAGUGUCGCAGCUAACGCAUUAAGUGCCCCGCCUGGGGAGUACGGCCGCAAGGCUAAAACUCAAAGGAAUUGGACCGGGGGCCCGCACAAGUGGUGGAGCAUGUGGUUUAAUUCGAAAAUACGCGAAGAACCUUACCUAGCCUUGACAUUGAAGAAACACAGUAGAGAUACAGUGGUGCCCUUCG
RNAcentral lists this ribosomal RNA (233 nucleotides) under uncultured bacterium. RNAcentral's name for it is "partial 16S ribosomal RNA". It matches the Rfam family "Bacterial small subunit ribosomal RNA", at positions 794 to 1023 of the family's 1533-position model. The record is from RNAcentral.